RNAcentral lists this ribosomal RNA (253 nucleotides) under uncultured microorganism. Its description in RNAcentral is "partial 16S ribosomal RNA". It matches the Rfam family "Bacterial small subunit ribosomal RNA", at positions 524 to 776 of the family's 1533-position model. The record is from RNAcentral.
UACGUAGGGGGCGAGCGUUGUUCGGAGUUACUGGGCGUAAAGCGCGCGUAGGCGGUGCGGUAAGUCAGGGGUGAAAUCCCGGGGCUCAACCCCGGAACUGCCUUUGAAACUCCCAGUCUUGAGUUCGAGAGAGGUGAGUGGAAUUCCGAGUGUAGAGGUGAAAUUCGUAGAUAUUCGGAGGAACACCAGUGGCGAAGGCGGCUCACUGGCUCGAUACUGACGCUGAGGUGCGAAAGCGUGGGGAGCAAACAGG